UCAAGAGUACGUGAAACCGUUCAGGGGUAAACCUGAGAAACCCAAAAGAUCGAAUGGGGAGAUUCAUCGUCAGCGGUACUGGUACGCGUGCGGUUCGCGAUGCCGGAGACUUCGGUCUCGUGGCACGCGUCCGCAUGUUUUUUAUUGCCUGGUAUCGUCGGCGUGCACUUCUCCCCUAGUAGGACGUCGCGACCCGUUGGGUGUCGGUCUACGGCCCGGGUGGGUGCCUGUCUCGUGUGCGCUUCACGGCGUCACUGCGGGGCAGACCCCCGGCUGCCCGACCGGCUGCCCGGCGGUACUCGCAAGGUAUCUGGCCGCAAAAAUUCGAACUGCGUCCGGCCCGUCGCAAGCGAGGAAAGUGUUUCCCGAAUGUACGGAUCUAAUGCCGUCAUCGGGCCUGGCCAGCUGUUGGUUGACGGUUGCCUAGGACUGGCUAUUACAAUUAUGAUACCGGUCAGCGACGCUACUGCUUUGGGUACUUUCAGGACCCGUCUUGAAACACGGACCAAGGAGUCUAACAUGUGCGCGAGUCAUUGGGAAUUAUUAAGCCUAAAGGCGCAAUGAAAGUGAAGGUCGGCCUCGCGCCGACCGAGGGAGGAUGGGCCGCGUCACGAUGCGGUCCCGCACUCCCGGGGCGUCUCGUUCUCAUUGCGAGAAGAGGCGCACCCAGAGCGUACACGUUGGGACCCGA
This 691-nucleotide ribosomal RNA is filed under the name Rodrigama gauldi. Its description in RNAcentral is "partial large subunit ribosomal RNA". It matches the Rfam family "Eukaryotic large subunit ribosomal RNA", at positions 389 to 819 of the family's 3401-position model. Lineage: Eukaryota; Metazoa; Arthropoda; Insecta; Hymenoptera; Ichneumonidae. The record is from RNAcentral.